CCUACGGGUGGCAGCAGUGAGGAAUAUUUGUCAAUGGACGCAAGUCUGAACCAGCCAUGUCGCGUGCAGGAAGACGGCCCUAUGGGUUGUAAACUGCUUUUGUACGAGAGUAAACGCAGAUACGCGUAUCUGUCUGAAAGUAUCGUACGAAUAAGGAUCGGCUAACUCCGUGCCAGCAGCCGCGGUAAUACGGAGGAUUCGAGCGUUAUCCGGAUUUAUUGGGUUUAAAGGGUGCGUAGGCGGUCGGGUAAGUUAGAGGUGAAAUCCCGGGGCUCAACUGCGGAAUUGCCUUUGAUACUGGUCGGCUAGAGAGUAGUUGCGGUAGGCGGAAUGUGUGGUGUAGCGGUGAAAUGCUUAGAGAUCACGCAGAACACCGAUUGCGAAGGCAGCUUACCAAGCUACUACUGACGUUGAGGCACGAAAGCGUGGGUAGCAAACAGGAGUAGAUACCCCAGUAGUC
RNAcentral lists this ribosomal RNA (460 nucleotides) under uncultured bacterium. Its description in RNAcentral is "partial 16S ribosomal RNA". It matches the Rfam family "Bacterial small subunit ribosomal RNA", at positions 338 to 795 of the family's 1533-position model. The record is from RNAcentral.